CUGCAAGCCUCCAGGGGCUGGGGUCCGGAGUGACCCUAUGCAUUCCACUGUGCUUGCAAGAACAUUAUGAAACAGUUUGAGGCCUUGCCCUGCUCCAUCCAGAGACCGGUUAUAGAAAUUUCAAAAGGAA
Sorex fumeus (smoky shrew) is the source of this 130-nucleotide small nucleolar RNA. RefSeq annotates it as small nucleolar RNA SNORA9. The transcript has a single exon. The record is from RefSeq and is a predicted model, not a curated record. NCBI's taxonomy places the organism in Eukaryota, Metazoa, Chordata, Mammalia, Eulipotyphla, Soricidae.